RNAcentral lists this ribosomal RNA (1254 nucleotides) under metagenome. Its description in RNAcentral is "bacterial SSU rRNA". It matches the Rfam family "Bacterial small subunit ribosomal RNA", at positions 8 to 1248 of the family's 1533-position model. The record is from RNAcentral.
AGAAUUUGAUCUUGGUUCAGAUUGAAUGCUGACGGCGUGGAUGAGGCAUGCAAGUCGAACGAAGUUUCACCUCGGUGAAACUUAGUGGCGAAAGGGUUAGUAAUACAUGAGUAACCUGCCUUUAACUUGGGAAUAACGGUUGGAAACGACCGCUAAUACCCGAUGUGGUGCUUGGAGUCAUCUCCAAGCAUUAAAGUAGGGGACCUUCGGGCCUUACGGUAAAAGAGGGGCUCAUGCGAUAUCAGCUUGUUGGUGUGGUAACGGCGCACCAAGGCUAAGACGUCUAGGCGAGUUGAGAGAUUGACCGCCAACACUGGGACUGAGACACUGCCCAGACUCCUACGGGAGGCUGCAGUCGAGAAUCAUUCACAAUGGGCGAAAGCCUGAUGAUGCGACGCCGUGUGAACGAAGAAGGCCCUCGGGUUGUAAAGUUCUUUCGCCUGGGAAUAAGAGAAGGGUGCUAAUACCACCCUAAUUUGAAGGUACCAGGUAAAGAAGCACCGGCUAACUCCGUGCCAGCAGCUGCGGUAAUACGGAGGGUGCAAGCAUUAAUCGGAAUUAUUGGGCGUAUAGGGCGUGUAGGCGGAUAUGGAAGUCAGAUGUGAAAUCCCGAAGCUCAACUUCGGAACUGCAUUUGAAACUCCAUACCUUGAGGAUAGGCGGAGAAGACAGAAUUCCACAAGUAGCGGUGAAAUGCGUAGAUAUGUGGAAGAAUACCGGUGGCGAAGGCGGUUUUCUAGCUUAUUCCUGACGCUGAGGCGCGAAAGCAAGGGGAGCAAACAGGAUUAGAUACCCUGGUAGUCCUUGCCGUAAACGAUGUAUACUUGGUGUAGCCGGUUUCAACCCCGGCUGUGCCGUAGCUAACGUGUUAAGUAUACCGCCUGGGGAGUACAGUCGCAAGGCUGAAACCCAAAAGAAUUGACGGGGACCCGCACAAGCAGUGGAGCAUGUGGUUUAAUUCGAUGCAACGCGAAGAACCUUACCUAGGCUUGACAUGCAGAUACGUAUGCAGAAAUGUAUAUUCCUUUCGGGGCUUCUGUGCAGGUGCUGCAUGGCUGUCGUCAGCUCGUGCCGUGAGGUGUUGGGUUAAGUCCCGCAACGAGCGCAACCCUUAUCAUUAGUUGCCAACAGUUCGGCUGGGGACUCUAAUGAGACUGCCUGGGUUAACCAGGAGGAAGGUGAGGAUGACGUCAAGUCAGCAUGGCCCUUAUGCCUAGGGCUACACACGUGCUACAAUGGCCGCAACAGAAGGUA